GGGCGUAAGCGUGCGCAUGCGGUUCUCUACACGGAUGUGAAAUCCCCGGGCUUAACCUGGGAACUGCAUUUGUGACUGGCGGGCUAUAGUAUGGCAUAGGGGGGUAGAAUUCCGCGUGUAACACUGAAAUGCGUAUAGAUGUGGAGGAAUACCGAUGGCGAAGGCCGCCCCCUGGGCCAAUACUGACGCUCAUGCACAAAAGCGUGGGGAGCAAACUUGAUUAGAUACCCUGGUACUCCACGCCCUAAACGAUGUCAACUACUUGUCCGGUCUUCAUUGACUUGGUAACGUAACUAACGCGUGAAGUUGACCGCCUGGGGAGUACGGUCGCAAGAUUAAAACUCGUAGGAAUUGACGGGGACCCGCACAAGCGGUGGAUGAUAUGAAUUAAUUCCAUGCAACGCUAAAAACCUUACCUAGCCUUGACAUGGUCAGAACCCUGCUGUAAGGUGGGGGUGCUCCAAAGAGAACUGAUACACAGGUGCUGCAUGGCUGUCGUCAGCUCGUGUCGUGAGAUGUUGGGUUAAGUCCCGCAACGAGCGCAACCCUUGUCCCUAGUUGCUACGCCUGAGCACUCUUCGGAGACUGCCGGUGACAAACCGGAGGAAGGUGGGGAUGACGUCAAGUCCUCAUGGUCUUUAUGGUUAGGGCUUCACACGUCAUACAAUGGUCUUAACAGAGGGUCGCCAACCCGCGAGGGGGAGCCAAUCCCAAAAAACGAUCGUAUGCCGGAUCGCACUCUGCGACUCGAGUGCGUGAAGCUGGAAUCGCUAGAAUCGCGGAUCAGCAUGCCGCAGUGAUACGUUCCCGGUCUUGCACUCACCCCCCG
RNAcentral lists this ribosomal RNA (829 nucleotides) under uncultured bacterium. RNAcentral describes it as "bacterial SSU rRNA". It matches the Rfam family "Bacterial small subunit ribosomal RNA", at positions 556 to 1396 of the family's 1533-position model. The record is from RNAcentral.